GACGAACGCUGGCGGCGUGCUUAACACAUGCAAGUCGAACGGAAACGCCCUGCUGUUUGGUGCUGCUCUAGUGAGUAACGGGCGAGUAAGACGUGAGUAGGCUGCCCUUGGCUUUGGGAGAACUUCAGGAAACUGGGGCUAAUACCGGAGAGUAGCGUCGGCUGCAUGGUGGGGGGGGGAUAGUUGCGGCGGUUGGGGAUGGACUCGCGGCUUAUCAUCUUGCUGGUGGGGGAGUGGCUUACCAAGGCUUUGACGGGUAGCCGGCCUUUGAGGGUAUCCGGCCACAUUGGGACUGAGGUAGGGAGCAGAGUGGAACGGGAGGCAACAGUGGGAAAUAUUGCACAGUGGGGGGAAGCGUAAUGCAGCAACGCCGCGUGCGGGAUGUAGGCCUUCGGGUUGUAAAGCGCUUACGCCUAUGACGAAGCGUGAGUGACGUUAAUGGGUAAAGAAGCACCGGCUAACUCCGUG
RNAcentral lists this ribosomal RNA (468 nucleotides) under uncultured bacterium. RNAcentral's name for it is "partial 16S ribosomal RNA". It matches the Rfam family "Bacterial small subunit ribosomal RNA", at positions 28 to 507 of the family's 1533-position model. The record is from RNAcentral.